This 346-nucleotide ribosomal RNA is filed under the name uncultured bacterium. RNAcentral's name for it is "partial 16S ribosomal RNA". It matches the Rfam family "Bacterial small subunit ribosomal RNA", at positions 338 to 681 of the family's 1533-position model. The record is from RNAcentral.
CCUACGUGGGGCAGCAGUGAGGAAUAUUGGUCAAUGGGCGCGAGCCUGAACCAGCCAAGUAGCGUGAAGGAUGACUGCCCUACGGGUUGUAAACUUCUUUUAUAAAGGAAUAAAGUGAGGCACGUGUGCCUUUUUGUAUGUACUUUAUGAAUAAGGAUCGGCUAACUCCGUGCCAGCAGCCGCGGUAAUACGGAGGAUCCGAGCGGUAUCCGGCUUUAUUGGGUUUAAAGGGAGCGUAGAUGGGUUGUUUAGUCAGUUGUGAAAGUUUGCGGCGCAACCGUAAAAUUGCAAUUGAUACUGGCAGCCUUGAUUACAGUUGAGGUAGGCUGAUUUCGUGGUGUAGCCG